This 301-nucleotide ribosomal RNA is filed under the name uncultured bacterium. RNAcentral's name for it is "partial 16S ribosomal RNA". It matches the Rfam family "Bacterial small subunit ribosomal RNA", at positions 509 to 809 of the family's 1533-position model. The record is from RNAcentral.
CAGUCGCCACGGUAAUACGUAGGUGGCAAGCGUUGUCCGGAAUUAUUGGGCGUAAAGGGCUCGCAGGCGGUUUCUUAAGUCUGAUGUGAAAGCCCCCGGCUCAACCGGGGAGGGUCAUUGGAAACUGGGAAACUUGAGUGCAGAAGAGGAGAGUGGAAUUCCACGUGUAGCGGUGAAAUGCGUAGAGAUGUGGAGGAACACCAGUGGCGAAGGCGACUCUCUGGUCUGUAACUGACGCUGAGGAGCGAAAGCGUGGGGAGCGAACAGGAUUAGAUACCCCAGUAGUCCCUGUCUCUUAUAA